RNAcentral lists this ribosomal RNA (406 nucleotides) under uncultured bacterium. Its description in RNAcentral is "partial 16S ribosomal RNA". It matches the Rfam family "Bacterial small subunit ribosomal RNA", at positions 30 to 526 of the family's 1533-position model. The record is from RNAcentral.
AUUGAACGCUGGCGGCAGGCCUAACACAUGCAAGUCGAACGAGUGGCGGACGGGUGAGUAAUGUCUGGGAAACUGCCCGAUGGAGGGGGAUAACUACUGGAAACGGUAGCUAAUACCGCAUACAAUCGGAGUGGCCCAGAGGGGAUUAGCUAGUAGGUGGGGUAACGGCUCACCAAGGCGACGACCCCUAGCUGGUCUGAGAGGAUGACCAGCCACACUGGAACUGAGACACGGUCCAGACUCCUACGGGAGGCAGCAGUGGGGAAUAUUGCACAAUGGGCGCAAGCCUGAUGCAGCCAUGCCGCGUGUAUGAAGAAGGCCUUCGGGUUGUAAAGUACUUUCAGCGAGGAGGCGUUACUCGCAGAAGAAGCACCGGCUAACUCCGUGCCAGCAGCCGCGGUAAUAC